Oryctolagus cuniculus (rabbit) is the source of this 961-nucleotide non-coding RNA. The record is from RefSeq and is a predicted model, not a curated record. NCBI's taxonomy places the organism in Eukaryota, Metazoa, Chordata, Mammalia, Lagomorpha, Leporidae.
GGAGAGGCCGAGAAGUACUUGGAGUGACGGGCGCUGGAGCCAGUGGGAGCACGGAAGGAGCGAGUUUUGCGGUGUGGGUGAUGACCAGGGUCAGCCAUUCAAGCCGUUUGAGGACGAACUGAUACUUGAAUUCACGUCCUUUUCUUAGGGGAACAUGGACGUGGAUCCUUUAAACACUUCGUCCAUUCACCGCGAGAGCUGCGCUGCAACUUCACAAAAAAAGAUGAGCCAGAUGAAUAAGAAAGAAGACGCGUGAUGAAGAGGUAUAAUUGAAAAGAAGCCAGGAGUUGGAAAAUACUUGUGGGUACCAGAGAAAGCAGAAGGGUAUAUGGCAUAACGUUUAAAAAAUGUAGACCCUGGAAUGAGGUGCCUGCAUUCAGAUCUCAACUCUGCCUCCUGAGACAUCUGACCAAGUCACUUCAUCCAUAACCCUUUUACAGGCCAAAGCAGAGAGCUGGAUUGGAAGUGGAGCAGCCAGGGCUCGAGCCAGUGCCCAUAAGGGAUGCCAGCGCUGCAGACCAGGGCUUUAGUGGGAUUUUAAAAAAGAAAUAUGCAUUGAAUUAACAUUAUCUAUAAACUCCUACUGUGCAGUAGGACUGCAGAACUUCUUACUCUGACCUGGCUGUAACAGUACCUGCUGAUCAACCUUCUUCCCUCCACCCUGCCACGCCUCUUCAGCUUCUGGCCUAUAAUUGCAGUAAACCUGCAGACCUUGAGAAGGAUUGCGCCAUUUGCCACUGGUGGGGAAUCAGGGAGGUCCAUUUGCCACCACUGCCCCUCAGCUUGUUAAAAAAUAACUCCUGUGGAAGUGAUGGUCCUGUGUUUGAGUGUCCCGACUCUGCCUUUCAGUGGCUGUUUGACUCAGGGCAGUCGGAGCCGAAGAGCCUGAAGUUAGAGAUGAGGAACAGCUUCUCCAGCAGCAGGGACACCACCUCCAGCAUCGGGUUCUUCAUCCUGCAAG